UUUGCUGAUGAAGUCUUGAUGCAGAAGUGGGCAGUCUUGCUUUAAGACAUGUGAUCUGACUCUCUCUCAGCUCUCUCUCACUCUCUCUCUCUCUCUCUCUCUCUCUCUUUCUCUCUUUCCAGCUGGGCUACAUUGUAAUAGCCUACACACACACACACGCACGCUCACUCACACACUCUCCCUCUGCCUCUCUGACACAGACUCUCUACUUAGUGCGUUGGAGAGAGGACUGAGGCUCACACUAUCAGCGCAGCUUCUCAAUGGGGGGACGCAGCCAAGAGCAGACAGAGCAGUCAUUCCACUGGAGCCUUCCGCUGCAUGCGUGAGAAGGAGACGACAAGUGAGGGGGGUAAAUUAGCUCCCUGUCAUCACAACAGAGGAGUUCUACUGACGGAGAGGAGUGAAGGGAGGAGAGGACAAGAAAUCUGAUCGUAUACGUGGCUGAUACAGCAGUGACAUGAUCAGCCUCCCAUCCCUCAAAUCCUGGCCAGUUUGUGACUUAGAGCCCUGGGUGUCUUGCUUUUGGUGACUGACUGUGUUGCCACGGACUUCAAAAGAGAACCACGAAACGCUCCAGAUUAGAGAAUAUUGACGAGAAGAACAUCAUUUUGUGCAGUGUUCGGCUUAUCUGGUACUGGAAUUUCAGGCGGGAAUCCCUGGCUUCAAAGUAUGGAUGGAUUAAAGACAGAGGAGUGAGUCUGCUGGGAAGGCAGGCAGUGAUUCUGACUGAGCACCUUUCCUCCUGAACACACUGCUCAGACUCGGCCUUACCAUGUCCUGGUUGUUGGCCAUGUGGAUUAGCCUCGGCUUCCUGCUGUUGUGCCAGGCCUCACUCUACCAGACCAUCCAGCAGCACCAUGUGGCCCGGCCCGGUCACACCGACAUUCUCACCCUGGAGGGAGGUACGUGUGAGGUGAUUGCCGCCCACCGAUGCUGUAACAAGAAUCGCAUUGAGGAGCGUUCUCAGACAGUCAAGUGCUCCUGUUUACCGGGGAAAGUGGCCGGGACGACACGCAACAAACCAUCUUGUGUGGAUGCGUCCAUUGUAAUUGGGAAAUGGUGGUGUGAGAUGGAACCAUGUCUGGAGGGAGAAGAGUGUAAGACUCUGCCUGACAACUCUGGAUGGAUGUGCUCCUCUGGGAACAAAAUCAAGACCACAAGAGUGAGACCUCACACACAUUCACACGCACACUUAAGCACAAAUGUUUGUACAUGCAUUCACAGACCUACACUCGCAAUGCACAGACGCACACUCACAUGUACAAGACACGUAUAUGCCUUUUCUGUAUGUACUGUAAAUGCACAUUUAACACAAGCAUUCACAUACCUGCACACACAUCCACACAUGCACACGGGCACACACCAUCUUCAAACACAAUAUGCCCAAAUGCCAGACAGAUUUCACUUUACUAUUCAACCUUUCUCCCUGGACUGAAAAAUCAAGAAGCUGUGUUUGGAUACUUUGAUUAAACGCUUUAAGCUUCUCUGCCAACUACCUGCCUCAUUUUUAAUUAAUCUUCUGUCAUUUAACAAUCAAACAUGCAAAGUCUCAAACCUGUGGGUAAAAAAGGGUGUGCACUGCACAAAUCACACUGUAUAGAGAAUACUCAGAAAGCACAGCACAUCUGUGCCCUCUGUAUAACAAGGUGGAAUCAGUUCGGUGUAAGCAACCAAUCUAAAGGCCCAUAGUAGUAAAGAACAAACAUAAAGCAGGCAGUAAACAAACAGGUGGGCUCUGCCUCAGGCUACACUCCUCUCAGAGAUAAAGUUAACGGGCACUCUGCUUCUUCACUGCCUCUCGGCUCUGUAAACUGACUCCGAAUGUGGCAUGCAAAAAUAAUGAAGGGAGUUAAGCCUUCGAAGCCAGUCCAGUCCAGCACUCUGUGACAGGUUGAUCACCCGAUUUGUAUUCAUUUAAUUGACUCGCCCCCCCACCUGCUCGCGAUCAGCAAACCCUCGUCUACUCUUAGUGCUUGGUGACAAUGACUUUGAAUAGAAGCAGAGACUAAUGUGAUGGUAGGGAAAGAGGGAACAGCCAGUGAAGGUUAGACCACACGGGGCUUCCCAAGGUUGUUCUGCAGAUUUAUAUGCCAACAGAUAGACAUAAAGCUUUCACUGGGCCCCUUCACAGCCACCACAGUCCCAAAAGUUUCAGAAAGAAGUUGAUCGAACGGGGCCUUGCCAUCCUGUCAAGGUAAGGCAUAGUGCUUGGUUCACUUUAAAGAAUGCAUCUCUAAUUCUCAAUUAUGUCCUUUGCACAAUUUCAGAUAACUAAAUUAAAAUCAUGAUUGUCUUUAUAUAAGAUGGGACAUAUUAUAUUUUAUUUAAUAUCUUGAGAUACAUUAAUCAAGAUUGUGCACUUCUGCACACAAAUGGAGAAUGAGCAUUAAUACAUAUUUAUGAGUAAAAUGGCUUAGGUAAACUAUUAUCAGAGCCUUAAGAGAAGAGGGCCAAAAAGACAGGCCCGAAGCUGCUUUUCUACCCAAUACACAUAUGUCCUUUUUUCUUGACCCUCUCUUUGCAGAACACCCAGCCAUACUCCCCUUUUUAGCUUCCGGAAGCAAAAUGCAGAGGAUGCGUCAACAGAAAUUGAGCUGCAUUCUUGCUUCUGUAAAGAUUCAUCCCAGGACCUAACAGAGAG
This is an RNA transcript of Dicentrarchus labrax (European seabass), 2641 nucleotides long. It is a transcript of the gene named chemokine-like protein TAFA-1, with no coding region annotated. The transcript is spliced from 5 exons. NCBI's taxonomy places the organism in Eukaryota, Metazoa, Chordata, Actinopteri, Moronidae. The record is from RefSeq and is a predicted model, not a curated record.